Molecule: ribosomal RNA, 84 nt
Filed under: Mesorhizobium loti
Lineage: Bacteria; Pseudomonadati; Pseudomonadota; Alphaproteobacteria; Hyphomicrobiales; Phyllobacteriaceae
Source: RNAcentral
AUCCCAUUCCGAACUCGGCCGUGAAACGCUCCAGCGCCAAUGGUACUUCGUCUCAAGACGCGGGAGAGUAGGUCGCUGCCAGGU